CGCAGGGUCCCGUCCGAUCACGAGCCUCGCGAACUCCGUCAGGUCCGGAAGGAAGCAGCGGUAGUGGGGAUUCGGUUGCGGGCGGGGUGCCCUGCGAUC
This 99-nucleotide signal recognition particle RNA is filed under the name Myxococcales bacterium. RNAcentral's name for it is "signal recognition particle sRNA small type". It matches the Rfam family "Bacterial small signal recognition particle RNA". Rfam says of the family: The signal recognition particle (SRP) is a universally conserved ribonucleoprotein involved in the co-translational targeting of proteins to membranes. Lineage: Bacteria; Pseudomonadati; Myxococcota; Myxococcia; Myxococcales. The record is from RNAcentral.